GUAGGUGGCGAGCGUUGUCCGGAAUUAUUGGGCGUAAAGCGCGCGCAGGCGGUCCUUUAAGUCUGAUGUGAAAGCCCACGGCUCAACCGUGGAGGGUCAUUGGAAACUGGGGGACUUGAGUACAGAAGAGGAAAGCGGAAUUCCACGUGUAGCGGUGAAAUGCGUAGAGAUGUGGAGGAACACCAGUGGCGAAGGCGGCUUUCUGGUCUGUAACUGACGCUGAGGCGCGAAAGCGUGGGGAGCAAACAGGAUUAGAUACCCUGGUAGUCCACGCCGUAAACGAUGAGUGCUAAGUGUUAGGGGGUUUCCCGCCCCCCUUAGUGCUGCAGCUAACGCAUUAAGCACUCCGCCUGGGGAGUACGGCCCGCAAGGCUG
Molecule: ribosomal RNA, 375 nt
Filed under: uncultured organism
Description: partial 16S ribosomal RNA
Rfam family: Bacterial small subunit ribosomal RNA
Source: RNAcentral